GAGGAUAUAGCUCAGAGGUAGAGUGUGUGCUUAGCAUGCACAGGGUCCUGGGUUCAAAUCCCAGUGCCUCCA
RNAcentral lists this transfer RNA (72 nucleotides) under Camelus bactrianus (Bactrian camel). It matches the Rfam family "tRNA". From Rfam's summary of the family: Transfer RNA (tRNA) molecules are approximately 80 nucleotides in length. Their secondary structure includes four short double-helical elements and three loops (D, anti-codon, and T loops). Further hydrogen bonds mediate the characteristic L-shaped molecular structure. tRNAs have two regions of fundamental functional importance: the anti-codon, which is responsible for specific mRNA codon recognition, and the 3' end, to which the tRNAs corresponding amino acid is attached (by aminoacyl-tRNA synthetases). tRNAs cope with the degeneracy of the genetic code in two manners: having more than one tRNA (with a specific anti-codon) for a particular amino acid; and 'wobble' base-pairing, i.e. permitting non-standard base-pairing at the 3rd anti-codon position. The record is from Rfam by way of RNAcentral. Lineage: Eukaryota; Metazoa; Chordata; Mammalia; Artiodactyla; Camelidae. RNAcentral also lists the same sequence under 2 other names.